UCUCCGAAAGACGAGUCCCCUGAGUGG
RNAcentral lists this small RNA (27 nucleotides) under Bombyx mori (domestic silkworm). RNAcentral describes it as "piRNA piR-bmo-1963352". The record is from RNAcentral. Lineage: Eukaryota; Metazoa; Arthropoda; Insecta; Lepidoptera; Bombycidae.